UUUCUAACAACAUUUACUUAAAAACAAAAUUCUUGUAUUCUUCAUGUAGGGUCAGUAUUCAAUUGCACAAAAAUAUGCAGCCAACUUAAGAACUAUAUAUAAGAUUAAGACACCUGGUAUUUCAUGGUAAAUGAUUAAAUUAACUAACACAGUUAUAUCCUGAACUUUGCCAUUAGGAAUGACAAUUUUGUUCGAUAUGCAUUGAGGAUUGUGGGUAAUCUAAACUGGUAUGAGCUUUUUCUCUUUGAAACUCAAACAGAAUUAAGGAACAGCAUUCUCUGCAAACAGAAUAUGGAGUUUGAGAACAGCCACAAAAAAUUCUCUUGUAGUAAGCUGAACUGCCCUAGGAGUACUCAGGAAUUAGACAACUCAGGAAUUAGAGAAUUAGAGAACUGGAGAAAUGAGGGGGCGUGGAUAGUAGGGAGAGAAAAAUUGAUUAAUUGAUUUACUAUAUUUUUCAAAUAGAAGUAUCUGGGAAAAUAAGACAAAACAAGCAGAGUUGUUUCUUUUUCACAGUGAAGCCCCAGAGGGGUGAAAGCUUUGUUCUCCCUGGGUAGCAAGCUCUUUUUUCACAUUUCCGACUGCAUAUUCCAUAUUUAUGAUGAUUUUUGGUCUCUCUGUUCCUGGCUUGCUAGGUGGCAAGGGCAGUUAGAGAAAAAAGGCAGAUUUAUGAAACACAGAAAAAUUUCUGACUGAAAUCAGGCUUGGAUUUGUGAAUCACUGUUUUUUCCCCCUGUGGUCACUCCUGUGAUGAGGUCAACUGCUUCAAUCCUUUAGGUUUUGUAGACAGGUUUCCGGAUUCCAGGAGUCCCAGAAGGUCCAGGGAGCGCUCCCCACAUUUUAGCCAGAAGUAAUUAACUAAAACAUAAAGGCCCCACUUUCUCUUUUCACACUUUGAGCCACAGAUCAUCUAAUUCCUAGCUUGAGACAUCAGAUUUCAGAUCAUUAGUGCAAAGCAUCUUCCACAGGAGGCAAUAAAAUGUCACUUUAUGUAACUCAGCUACAGUUACACUGCCUUCAGAAAGCAGGAAUCUCCCUGAAAACAAAUUUACAUGAAAACAGUCCCAUUGUUUGAGAAUUUAUGCAAAUGUUGCACAAAGGGGUUUGAUAGUGAUUUUAAAAACUUAAAUCUUUAUCACUGCCUCAAAGAUAUCCUGAGAAACUUGGUUACCUCUAAAGAAUUCCAUUGCACUUAUUUUUUAAAAUGCCUAUAAUAUAGAGUUGUUUUAAAAAUUUUCCCUAAACUCUAAACUUCUUUCUCAGCUUCAAAGCCUUCCGUAAUGAAUAUCCUAAAGAGAGCCUAGUGCAUAUUGGUUUAACACUUACUAGGAUCACUCAUUACUAGUUAAGAAAAUUGAAGAUAACAACCAUAGCACCAAGUAUUUUGAACAACAUAAAAUGUUUCUCCCGUGGGUGUAGCUCUUAGGGACCGCAUGGGGAUACACACCCCUCAGUGCUCAAUCAGCAAAAGAUGAAGCUGUAAGUGUCUCAAUCCAUGUUGAUUGACUCUGAACUCCCCAGUGUUAGGAAUCUGGAUGUGUCCAUUACUGCAUGUUCAAACAAUGAACUGCCUGCACCAGAAAUCUGAUUUCUGUAGAAAGACAUUAAGGGGCUGGGUGAGGAAUAGGGUGUCAACCAAACGUUGUGAUAUUUUCCUUUGAUUUUCACUUUCUUUAAAUUCUUUUCCAUUUACUACCUAGUGACUGUCUGGCAUUGGUACCCUCAGUUUCUUUUCUUCUGCUUUUCCUCCUAAUUCAGUGUGGAAGAUGAUCAAAGUAUGACAUUUCUUCUACCCCAGAGGCUGGCAUUUCUGCAGGCACAAAUGAGCUUGGUUUUCAAGCACUGCUCUUUGAACACAAGGAAUUCCUUUAAUGAUCACGCCGGACUAUAUAGACUUUGGAAUCAGACUCUUUGAAUUCCAGCUCUGCCAUUUACCAACUUUGACACUUUGGACAACGUCUCAUUCUGUCACCCAGGCUGGAGUGCAGUGGCACAAUUAUAGCUCACUGCAGCCUCAAACACCUGGGCUCAAGCAAUCCUUCCACCUCUGCCUCCUGAGUAAUUGGGACUACAGGCAUGUGCCACCACACCCAGCUAAUUUUUAAUUUUUAAUUUUUUUGUAGAGAUGGCGGUCUUGCUAUGUCACCCAGGCUGGUCUUGAACACCUGGCCUCAAGUGAUCCUCCGGCCUUGGUCUCUCAAAGCUCUGGGAUUACAGACAUGAGCCACUGCACCCGGCUCUAUCUCCCCUUCCUAUGUGUGUUAGCUCUAGAACAAGAGAAGCCUUGUUGAGAUUCCUGGCUGCCCACCCCCCAUCACCUCUCUGACUUUGGGCAAGUUGCCUGGCCUCUCUCAGCCUUUAUUUUCUUUUUGUGAAAUGGGGAUAAUAAUAGUACUUGCCUCAUAGGCAAAAUGUUGUGAGAACUAAACGAGAAAAUGCAUGUAAAGCACUUGGCACUUAGUUCUUUUUAUGAUUAUAAUGAUAAUCAGACACAAUAAAUUAUGUCUCACAUC
This 2513-nucleotide long non-coding RNA is filed under the name Homo sapiens (human). Its description in RNAcentral is "novel transcript". The record is from RNAcentral. Lineage: Eukaryota; Metazoa; Chordata; Mammalia; Primates; Hominidae.